Molecule: long non-coding RNA, 395 nt
Filed under: Triticum aestivum (bread wheat)
Lineage: Eukaryota; Viridiplantae; Streptophyta; Magnoliopsida; Poales; Poaceae
Description: long non-coding RNA (TAES_LNC028102)
Source: RNAcentral
UCCGACGCCAUGGACAAAUGUAAUAAUUUGUCUUCUCUCCCCUUCUUCUCGUCUCCUUCCUCCGUCCUGUAUUUGCUUACUGCACCACAAUAAUUAUUUCUUCAGAGAGGAGAAGAGGACAGGUCCUGGAAUCCAAAUUUCCUUCAUGAACAAAUGAAGCACAAUCCUUUGCAGUAGCUGAAGUUUCAGACUGGAUAAAUUACAUUGCAGCACCUGAAGUUUCAGACUGAAUAUAUUAUGUUGGCCACCUGUAUUUGGAAAAUUUACCCGAUGUAGCAUGUACAUUUAGUUUCCUAGAAGGCCAUUGCACUUGUUGUUAAUUAGCAACUCACAUUACAAAAGUGCCAGUGGAAAUUUUUGAAAUUAGUAGUGCAGUUUGCAUCUUUGUAACAGAA